This 992-nucleotide ribosomal RNA is filed under the name Pedobacter ginsengisoli. RNAcentral's name for it is "bacterial SSU rRNA". It matches the Rfam family "Bacterial small subunit ribosomal RNA", at positions 92 to 1087 of the family's 1533-position model. Lineage: Bacteria; Pseudomonadati; Bacteroidota; Sphingobacteriia; Sphingobacteriales; Sphingobacteriaceae. The record is from RNAcentral.
AAAGUGGCGCACGGGUGCGUAACGCGUAUGCAACCUACCUUAAUCAGGGGGAUAGCCCGAAGAAAUUCGGAUUAACACCGCAUAAAAACACAGGAUAGCAUUAUCCAAUGUUCAAAUAUUUAUAGGAUUAAGAUGGGCAUGCGUGUCAUUAGCUAGUUGGCGGGGUAACGGCCCACCAAGGCGACGAUGACUAGGGGAUCUGAGAGGAUGACCCCCCACACUGGUACUGAGACACGGACCAGACUCCUACGGGAGGCAGCAGUAAGGAAUAUUGGUCAAUGGAGGCAACUCUGAACCAGCCAUGCCGCGUGCAGGAAGACAGCCCUCUGGGUCGUAAACUGCUUUUAUUCGGGAAUAAACCUCAUUACGUGUAAUGAGCUGAAUGUACCGAAGGAAUAAGGAUCGGCUAACUCCGUGCCAGCAGCCGCGGUAAUACGGAGGAUCCAAGCGUUAUCCGGAUUUAUUGGGUUUAAAGGGUGCGUAGGCGGCUUAUUAAGUCAGGGGUGAAAGACGGUGGCUCAACCAUCGCAGUGCCCUUGAUACUGAUGAGCUUGAAUGAACUAGAGGUAGGCGGAAUGUGACAAGUAGCGGUGAAAUGCAUAGAUAUGUCACAGAACACCGAUUGCGAAGGCAGCUUACUAUGGUUUUAUUGACGCUGAGGCACGAAAGCGUGGGGAUCAAACAGGAUUAGAUACCCUGGUAGUCCACGCCCUAAACGAUGAAUACUCGCUGUUAGCGAUAUACAGUUAGCGGCUAAGCGAAAGCGUUAAGUAUUCCACCUGGGGAGUACGCCCGCAAGGGUGAAACUCAAAGGAAUUGACGGGGGCCCGCACAAGCGGAGGAGCAUGUGGUUUAAUUCGAUGAUACGCGAGGAACCUUACCCGGGCUUGAAAGUUACUGAAUGAUCUAGAGAUAGGUCAGUCCGCAAGGACAGGAAACUAGGUGCUGCAUGGCUGUCGUCAGCUCGUGCCGUGAGGUGUUGGGUUAAGUCC